GGGUUGUUAGCUCAGCACGGAUAGAGCGCCAGCCUUCUAAGCUGGAAGUCGAGGGUUCAAAUCCCUCACGACCCGCCA
Molecule: transfer RNA, 78 nt
Filed under: Nitrososphaerota archaeon
Lineage: Archaea; Thermoproteati; Nitrososphaerota
Also listed under: 6 other names
Description: tRNA-Arg
Rfam family: tRNA
About the family: Transfer RNA (tRNA) molecules are approximately 80 nucleotides in length. Their secondary structure includes four short double-helical elements and three loops (D, anti-codon, and T loops).
Source: RNAcentral